AACGUAGGAGACAAACGUUAUCCGGAGUUACUGGGCGUAAAGGGCGUGUAGGUGGUUUCGUAAGUCUGGCGUGAAAUUUUUCGGCUUAACCGGGAAAGGUCAUCGGAUACUGCGGGACUAGAGGACGGUAGAGGCGUGUGGAAUUCCGGGUGUAGUGGUGAAAUGCGUAGAGAUCCGGAGGAACACCAGUGGCGAAGGCGACACGCUGGGCCGUACCUGACACUGAUGCGCGACAGCAUGGGGAGCAAACAGG
RNAcentral lists this ribosomal RNA (253 nucleotides) under uncultured bacterium. RNAcentral's name for it is "partial 16S ribosomal RNA". It matches the Rfam family "Bacterial small subunit ribosomal RNA", at positions 524 to 776 of the family's 1533-position model. The record is from RNAcentral.